GGAUACAUCCGUACCUAUGUCUUCGUGAGAUUUUCAUCUCCGCAUGGCCAUAGAGAAAUGUAUCCCCCUGAACCGAACUCGGUCCGCAUGAGCCUACAAUGGGUGAGGAUCGAGGAAUCUGCUGGUUCAGGUACCCUUACUUUAGAACCAAACCUCAUGUAGUGAACCUUAGGAGCUCACCCUAGGUAGAACCACUUCGAACCCCUAGUAUUCACCCAAAUAGGUGUUCUAUUUAUUCUUGCUUGCUUUUGCUUUGUACUAACAUGUUUUCUUUUUGUCAUGAUUGCAUUGCAUUUUCAUCAUAAAAAGAGGUGUUGAUUCACGUUCAAUUGCUAAAUAGAGAGCUUGUCAUAAGAAAAUGGGUUUCUUGAUAAAGUGGAUGACGAUACGGUUGUCCUAAUACGGUCCGAG
RNAcentral lists this long non-coding RNA (411 nucleotides) under Gossypium barbadense (sea-island cotton). RNAcentral's name for it is "long non-coding RNA (GBAR_LNC009866)". The record is from RNAcentral. Lineage: Eukaryota; Viridiplantae; Streptophyta; Magnoliopsida; Malvales; Malvaceae.